UACGUAGGGACCAAGCGUUGUUCGGAUUUACUGGGCGUAAAGGGCGCGUAGGCGGCUUAACAAGUCACUUGUGAAAUCUCCGGGCUUAACUCGGAACGGCCAAGUGAAACUGUCAAGCUAGAGUGCAGAAGGGGCAAUCGGAAUUCUUGAUGUAGCGGUGAAAUGCGUAGAUAUCAAGAGGAACACCUGAGGUGAAGACGGGUUGCUGGGCUGACACUGACGCUGAGGCGCGAAAGCCAGGGGAGCAAACGGG
RNAcentral lists this ribosomal RNA (253 nucleotides) under uncultured bacterium. RNAcentral's name for it is "partial 16S ribosomal RNA". It matches the Rfam family "Bacterial small subunit ribosomal RNA", at positions 524 to 776 of the family's 1533-position model. The record is from RNAcentral.